RNAcentral lists this long non-coding RNA (200 nucleotides) under Nicotiana benthamiana. RNAcentral's name for it is "long non-coding RNA (NBEN_LNC003453)". Lineage: Eukaryota; Viridiplantae; Streptophyta; Magnoliopsida; Solanales; Solanaceae. The record is from RNAcentral.
AAGUAUUCCGAAAUUUUCAUUAGUAUUUCUAGGUUGGCUACUAGUUUCAACUUGUUUAUCUUUUCUAGGUCGGGGAGCCGGGGGAGGGGUAGGAUUUUAGCGACUACUUUCACCGGAUUUAGAUUUACAUUUUCCGUACAUGUUUUUCAAUGAAAAUGCCAUAAUAAUUAUAAUUAAGCAAAAUAACAACACACAACAAA